CAGAUGUGUAUAAGAGACAGGUGAGUCAUCGAAUCUUUGAACGCACAUUGCGCCCUGUGGUAUUCCGCAGGGCAUGCCUGUUCGAGCGUCAGUACAACACUCAAGCCUAGCUUGGUCUUGGGCGUCACCAGUAAUGGUGUGCCUUAAAAUUAGUGGCGGCGCCUGUGAGGCUCUAAGCGUAGUAAUACUCCUCGCUUCAGGGACCCUUAUAGGAGCUGGCCAGCAACCCCCAACUUUCUAAGUUUGACCUCGGAUCAGGUAGGGAUACCCGCUGAACUUAAGCAUAUCAAUAAGCGGAGG
RNAcentral lists this unclassified non-coding RNA (300 nucleotides) under uncultured Leotiomycetes. RNAcentral's name for it is "sequence contains 5.8S rRNA gene, ITS2". The stretch from base 1 to 91 matches the Rfam family "5.8S ribosomal RNA", at positions 58 to 154 of the family's 154-position model. Lineage: Eukaryota; Fungi; Ascomycota; Leotiomycetes. The record is from RNAcentral.